AUCAUAAAAGCAACUAGAAAGUUUUUGUUUUUUUCAUAUUUUGUACUUUUUCAAUAAUGCAGAUUAUGAUUAUAGUUCUAAAAUUGAACUUAUUUGGUUCAUUAUCCAAUGAAAUGGGACUAUGAAAUUCCAAAUGGUGUAGCGACAAUAUUUAUAUCAUAGUAACGAAAUCGAAAAACUACACAGAAUUCCACAUUGCUCAGGAGGAUCUGGACUAACAAAAAUGGAGGCACACUGAAGAGGAUUUAGAUAUAGCAGCUGUUAUUGCCUUUAUAGAGGUAAGAAGUCAAGGCUUAGAAAAUUUAGAGACUGGUUUGUCCAUGAGAGUAGGGCAGCCUUUAAACUCUUCAGGAAUUUGUUUCCUGGAAGGCAACAGUCACCCUUGGGAAAGUUUCUUAAUUCCAAGCCAUUUGUGCAUGUUUUGUCUUCCCACAGUUUCCAAGGAUUUACUCUACUUGUUUAGUUUUCUCUAGAUGUCACUACAUAUGUUUUUACUGGGGUUCUUCCCAUUGGGAAAUACAGAGUUCUAGAGUCACGCCUGCGGUUAAGUGAAUGGCACUUGGCAAAUCUAAGGCUGUUCAGCAACUCUAUAACUGUAAAUACCUACCUUUGGGGUUGCUUGGGGAAUUGGUAGAAAUCAUAUGGAAAAAUCUAGCUUGGAAGUGACCUCUAGAUUUCCUUUCCCAGCUGCUGGAGGAAGAAUGUAUUUGGGAAGCAGUGUAUUUAAGCUUCAGGAGAUCAGGGUGUGGGUACUGGCCAAGAUGCUGUUGGUUGCGACUUGAUGAGGUGACUUAUUUGUGGAGUGGGAGCGACAACUGUGUUGGAAGCUAGGUGAUGUCUGCCCGAAGCACUGUGCUAUAAUGGUGGACACAUGUGCAAGAAGAUUAACGGGAAACCAGGCUUAACAGACUGUUGAAGUGCUAAAGAGCGAACUCAAAGACCUUGUCCAUCUGCAUUGACCUUCGGGUUGAAACUAGGUAGAGCCCAGUGCGCUACAUGCUAUUUGCCCUGGAGUGCUCCUCGGUCACACAGAAAUAUGAUUUUCUUUUCUGAUUUGAAUCAAAUCUUCAACAUGAAAUGUUAACAAAAACAUCUAGCCUAGGGUUUAAAAAUGUAUUCACCACAGAAAGACUUGGAAAUAUUUAAUGCUUCAAAUAAUUUUCUCUAGCCUCUGAGAUAUCUUGCACUAAAAAUGUCUUUCUGCUGGAGUAUUUUCUAAAAUAUUAGUUUCCACUUUUACUUUUUGCUCCCAGGACAACUAUUCCUCUGAACCAAAACAGCUCCUUUAUUUUAUUUUUUCCUUUUUUAUUUUUUUCUGGUUCUGAAAUAACCCAUCCUGAAGACAUAAACAACUUGCCUUGAUGGCUAGCCAAGACUCUGUCCUGCCCCGGACCUCCUCCUACUCUUUCAUUUCUUACCCCAAGGAGCAGUAAACAUGAAUCUUGACCCACCAAUGCAGCCUCAGAACGGAGAAGAGAUACACCACAGCUAAAGAGUAGGUACCAAUAAAAACAAUGCCUCAAUUCGAUGAUAUUAAAUAUGCUGGGAAGACAGUCUCCAAGAGAAAGGAUAAAUAACCUACAUAAUGAAGAAUUAGUUAGCAGUGUUAUGUAAAUAUUGUAGCAGCAUCAAUGAGGAGGUAAGCAGAAGUAUUUUAAGACACUAUAUUAUACAAUACACUGUGCACUGUUUCCUGGUGAUAAGGUUUUUAAAGCAUCUUUAUAAGCUCUUCUUCUCUGUUGUGACAGGAUUAUUUUUGCACCUUUGGAAAGCAACUGAAAAAGGAAGCUUGGAAAAAAUCCUGCCUAACAAAGCAGCCAUACUCAAGAUUUGUGCACCUGGAGUCAACCGCAGGCCAUGCCCAUCUCCCACUACUUAGAAGCAUCAAAUGCUCAAUUGGAAAAAAUGAGGAGGAAAAAAACAGCGAUAAAGAAAGAUGGGGAGAGCAAAAGAAGGAGUAAGAGAAAAACGGAGGGAGAAAGAAGGCAGCAAGGUUGGGGGCAUAGGAAGAAGGAAGCGGGAGACCUAAUCCAGUAUCUGGAUCUCCAUCUGUUCUGUUCAGGAAACUGUAUAAAUCUCCCAACUCCUUUUAUUUUCCUUAGACUAGUUGGAGUUGGGAUUCUGUCAUUUGAAAUUGAAAAUGUCCCAACUAAUAUACUGUUUAUUUAUUUAUUUAUUGCUGAGGAAGAUUAGCCCUGAGGUAACAUCUGUGCCAAUCUUCCUUGAUAUGUGGGUCACUACCACAGUAUGGCUGACAAAUGAUAUAGGUCCACACCUGGAAUCCAAACCCACCAACCGAGGCCGCCAAAGCAGAGCAUGCUGAACUUAACCACCAUGCCUUGGGGCUGGCCCCUAAUAUACUAUUUAAAGGGAUUUUUCCUUGGUACGAAAUGUGUCUACGUUUCUCCAACUUUCCAAGAUUUGGCAAUUAAUUUAAACUCUUAAGUGAACUGGUUGGCUUAACUUUAAGAUAUGUGCUUUUCAGAAAUUAAUUUCAACAGGUAAUAAUGUUGAUAGCAUCCCAAAUUUCACUCCUUUAAGGUCAUUAUUAUGGAAUUUUUGGAAUUGAACUAAUUUAAAUACAUAAAACCAAUGAUCUCUAUUCAAAUGGUUUCUAUGGCCUCCAACAUUCAUAUAAGGAUUUGUUUAUUUUAAUAUUGAACAUUGCAAAGAAUAAAUUAAAAACAAAAUGUGUUUAGGAUUCUAAAUAUAGCGUUAUUUAAAAAGCUAUCUACCCUAAAAAAAUCACCAACUAUCUAUCCUAUGUUACAGCUUAAUUUUAAUUUUUAUUAUUUAAAUGUGCUUCUAGCAGAUGAAACUAUACAUAUUUGUUUGGAAAUCAGGUAUUUUUUAAAAAUAGAUUUUACUUUUUAGAGCACUUUUAGGUUCACAGAAAAAUUGAGCAGAAGAUGCAGAGAUUUCCCGUAUACCCCCUGCCCCGACAUAUACCCAGCCUCCCUCACUAUCAAAAUCUUGCUCCAGAGGGGUACAUUUGCUGUGUUUGAUGAACCUACGUUGACACAUCAUUAUUACACAAAGUCCAUAGUUUACAUUAGAGUUCACUCUUGGUGUUGUACAUUCUAUGGGUUUGGGCAAAUGUAUAAUGACACAUAUUCUCCAUUAUAGAGUCCUACAGAGUAGUUUCAUUGCCCUAAAAGUCCUCUGUGCUCUGUCUAUUCCCCCCUCCCUUCCUUCCAAUCCCUGGCAACUAUUGAUCCUUUCACUGUCUCCACAGUUCUGCCUUUUCCAGAAUAUCAUAGAAUUGUAAUCAUAGAAUAGACAGCCUUUUCAGUUGGCUGAUUUCACUGGGUAAUAUGCAUUUAGGUUUCCUACAUAUCUUUUCAUGGCUUUAGUUCAUUUCUUUUUAGUGCAGAAUAAUAUUCUAUUGUCUGAAUGUAACACCGUUUAUUUACCCAUUCACUUACUGAAGGUCAUCUUGAUUAUUUCCAAGUUUUGGCAAUUAAGAAUAAAGCUGUUAUAAACAUUCAUGAGCAGCUUUUUGUGUGGACACGAAUUUUCAACUCUUCAGUAAAUACCAAGGAACACAACUGCUGGAUUGUGUGGAAUCCUUUCCAAAAAUAAUUUGCUGCAGCACAGGUGAGAUUCCUCAGAGGAUCCAGCCAAGGUUGGUUUCUUCUUGUCUAGUUAAAGUCUUGGGCAUGCUCCCUUCAGAGCAGUCUUGUUAAUCGUUUAUGUCAUGGAGUUUUUAAUUCCUGGGAUGGUGACAUUGAGCUCACAGACAUAGUGUUCAUUCCACUGUUGCUUCUGCUCACAUGUCUAAGGUUUUACUCUGUUCAAUAUGUGUAUAUAGGGGCUGGCCUGUGGCGUAGCAGUUAAGUUCACCGCUCUCUGCUUUGGCGGUCCGGGGUCUGCUGGUUCAGAUCCCACGCAUGGACCUACGCACUCCUCAUCAAGCCAUGCAGUGGCAGGCAUGUCACAUGUGAAAUAGAGGAAGAUGGGCACAGAUGUUAGCUCAGGGCCAAUAUUCCUCUGCAAGAAAAGAGGAGGAUUAGUGGUGGCUGUUAGCUUGGGGAUCAUCUUCCUCAAAAAAUAAAAAAAAAGGCAUCUAUAAAUUUUGAACCACUGUCUUAAUGCUUACCUUGC
This is a long non-coding RNA of Equus caballus (horse), 4104 nucleotides long. Lineage: Eukaryota; Metazoa; Chordata; Mammalia; Perissodactyla; Equidae. The record is from Ensembl.